Spinacia oleracea (spinach) is the source of this 1193-nucleotide long non-coding RNA. RefSeq lists it as uncharacterized. The record is from RefSeq and is a predicted model, not a curated record. NCBI's taxonomy places the organism in Eukaryota, Viridiplantae, Streptophyta, Magnoliopsida, Caryophyllales, Amaranthaceae. The transcript is spliced from 2 exons.
AAAAGAGAGGGUACCUCAAUGUGGUGUUGACACAUGUCAUUUUUAAUUUUACUUUUACUUUUUAUUGCUUAAUAGCAUAUCAUUUACGGUUUUUUCAUAAAAUGCCCCUGAGGUUUGCAAGAAUGCACCAAAUACCCUCGCGUCUUUCGAAUCACAUAAUACACCCCUAUAUAAACUUACUUUGCACCAAAUACCCUUAGACUUAACGGCCGUUAGUGCUCCGUUAGUAUUAUUUUACCUUUAUACCCCUUACGCAUCCAAUAUUCUACAGUUAACUUUAAAAAAAAAAAAAAAAAAAAAAACUCUUUUCUCUUCUCUCCUCUCCUCUCCUGUUCCCAUACCCAUUGCAUCUUCAUCUCAAAUUCCCAUUUUCGUACUUCAUCAUCUUCAUCUCAAAUUCCCAUUUUCGUACUUCAUCAUCUUCUUCACUCCAUCUUUCUCACUCCUGCCAUUUUCGCUCUGCUUCAAAAAUCAAAAAUAUGUCUCGCCCAUUACUAAAAGCUAACCUUUCCAAUUUCCUAAUUACCCGAUUAACGCAAAUUCUAGGGUUCAUUGCAAUUUGCGAUUUCAAAAUCAAAUUAUGGGGUCUAUAACUUCUCCCGAUGAAAGCUUACCUUUGGUUGAUCAAAUUGCGUCCAUUAAUCCCCCAAAAUCUCACUCAAGAGAUGUUCAUGUACUCAACUUAGCUUUUUUUGCUCGUGUUUUCGGUAUAUGGGUGCUGUUAAAAAUUUAGAAAGUACGGCCAACAAUAUGGAUUUGUUAUUUCCGGUCACUAGAAUGUGCGUUAAGAAUGCUCUUGGUUCGCAUUGUUAUCUCGCCUCUCAGGUGUGUUAAUCAGGCAAUCUAUCUUCUGACAACCGGAGCUCGUGAGAGUGCUUUCAAGAACAUUAAGACCAUUGUUGAGUGCCUUGCUGAUGAACUCAUCAAUGGUGCCAGGGGUUCAUCCAACACUUAUGCUAUCAAGAAGAAAGAUGAGAUUGAAAGAGUCGCCAAGGCCAAUCAUUGAGUUAGGGGGUUAUGUAGAGCUUAAGUUUUUUUCUCUUGUUUCUUGAAUUUUGGAUUAUAUGGAUUUUCUAUAAGAAUCAAAGUUCUAUUAUAAUUAAGAAUCAAAGUUGUACUAGAUUUUCUAUAAGCAGCAAGAACAUAUAGGCUAUAUUUUAAUCAAUAAAAGUAGUCAUUAGAUUCAAAUUCUA